UUGUGUCAGUCUUAAUUCAUGAUAGACACAUCAUCAUUUUUGUUUCCUGGAUGAGUUGGAGUUUGGAGGGCUUAUAAAAGGCCUUUCCUCACCAUACGCUGCAAACCAUUCCUUUCCUUCUUCACUCAUCGGUGUUGACAUUUUGAGUUCGGUUUCCCUCAAAGACAAAGAAAAUGUCUUUCCAGCAAUCUCAACAAUGCAAGCAACCGCCAGUGUAUCCACCAUCGUCCUGCGUGAAUUCAUGUCAGCCUUCGGGAGGCUCUAAGCCGUGCCCUCCUCCAGCGUGCCAAGGCUCUGGUGGCGGUACAUACCAAGUCUCCGGUGGGAGCACGGACCAAGGCUCUGGUGGCAAUGCUUGCCAAGUCUCCGGUGGGGGCACUUGCCAAGGCUCUGGUGGCAAUGCUUGCCAAGUCUCCGGUGGGAACACAUGCCAAGGAUCCGGUGGCAAUGCUUGCCAAGUCUCCGGUGGGAACACGUGCCAAGGAUCCGGUGGCAGUACAUACCAAGUCUCUGGUGGGAGCACAUGCCAAGGAUAUGGUGGCAGUGCUUGCCAAUCAGAAAAUCCGUGCCAAGGGUCAACUGGAAAUCAAUCCCAGUGCCCACCAGUUUCCCAGCAGCCCAAGCAAUGCUAGAGUCCUCCAAAGAGUCAGUCAUCAAGACAUGGAAGCAUAUGAAUAAAUGUACCUGUCCUUGAUUCAGAA
Eublepharis macularius is the source of this 701-nucleotide long non-coding RNA. RefSeq lists it as uncharacterized. Lineage: Eukaryota; Metazoa; Chordata; Lepidosauria; Squamata; Eublepharidae. The record is from RefSeq and is a predicted model, not a curated record. The transcript has 2 exons.